GACGAACGCUGGCGGCGUGCCUAAUACAUGCCAGUAGAGCGCACGGAUGAUACGCUAGCUUGCUAGACGAUAGAGGGGGACUGGCGAACGACUCAUUAACACCCAAGUAACCUGCCUGGGAUAACUUGGGGACUAUGUAGAACGAUACCUAAAACCUCAUAAUCUUGAUUGUUGCAUAAUAAAAGAUGGACAGGCUGAAUUUUACCACUGGCACAGCGCUGCAUUAGCUAGUAGGUAAGGUAACGGCUUACGAAGGCAAUGAUCCAUGACCGACCGGCGAGGGUGAUCGCCCACACUGGAACGGAAACACGGUCCAGACUCCUACGGGAGGCAGCAGAAGGGAAUCUUCCGCAAUGGGCGAAAGCCGGACGGAGCAACGCCGCGUGAUUGAUGAAGUUCUUCGGAUCGUAAAACUCUGUUAUUAGGGAAGAACAGAUGUGUAAGUAACUGUGCACAUCUUGACGGUACCUAAUCAGAAAGCCACGGCUAACUACGUG
This 497-nucleotide ribosomal RNA is filed under the name uncultured bacterium. RNAcentral's name for it is "partial 16S ribosomal RNA". It matches the Rfam family "Bacterial small subunit ribosomal RNA", at positions 28 to 507 of the family's 1533-position model. The record is from RNAcentral.